RNA transcript from Pan troglodytes (chimpanzee), 8451 nucleotides. It is a transcript of the gene named nuclear receptor binding SET domain protein 2, with no coding region annotated. The transcript has 22 exons. NCBI's taxonomy places the organism in Eukaryota, Metazoa, Chordata, Mammalia, Primates, Hominidae. The record is from RefSeq and is a predicted model, not a curated record.
GGGGCGGGGUCGGCGCCGCGCGCGAGAGCCUCGGCCUGGCCGCGCUGCGCCCGCCGCCGCCGCCGCCCCCUCCCCGCCUGGGCCCUACCGCCGCACGGCCCCGGCCCCCUCCCAGCCUGCCGCUCCGGAGAGCCGCCCGCCGAGGAUGCGACGCACCGCAGUGUUCUAAGAACGGAAGCAUCUGGGCUGGAUGGAAUUUAGCAUCAAGCAGAGUCCCCUUUCUGUUCAGAGUGUUGUAAAGUGCAUAAAGAUGAAGCAGGCACCAGAAAUCCUUGGCAGUGCCAACGGGAAGACUCCGAGCUGCGAGGUGAACCGCGAGUGUUCUGUGUUCCUCAGCAAAGCCCAGCUCUCCAGUAGCCUGCAGGAGGGGGUCAUGCAGAAGUUUAACGGCCACGACGCCCUGCCCUUUAUUCCAGCCGACAAGCUGAAAGAUCUUACUUCCCGGGUGUUUAAUGGAGAACCCGGCGCACACGAUGCCAAACUGCGUUUUGAGUCCCAGGAAAUGAAAGGGAUUGGGACACCCCCUAACACUACCCCUAUCAAAAAUGGCUCUCCAGAAAUUAAGCUGAAAAUCACCAAAACAUACAUGAAUGGGAAGCCUCUUUUUGAAUCUUCCAUUUGUGGUGACAGUGCUGCUGAUGUGUCUCAGUCAGAAGAAAAUGGACAAAAACCAGAAAACAAGGCGAGAAGGAACAGGAAGAGGAGCAUAAAAUAUGACUCCUUGCUGGAGCAGGGCCUUGUCGAAGCAGCUCUUGUGUCUAAGAUCUCAAGUCCUUCAGAUAAAAAGAUUCCAGCUAAGAAAGAGUCUUGUCCAAACACUGGAAGAGACAAAGACCACCUGUUGAAAUACAACGUUGGUGAUUUGGUGUGGUCCAAAGUGUCGGGUUACCCUUGGUGGCCUUGCAUGGUUUCUGCAGAUCCACUCCUUCACAGCUAUACCAAACUUAAAGGUCAGAAAAAGAGUGCACGCCAGUAUCACGUACAGUUCUUUGGUGACGCCCCAGAAAGAGCUUGGAUAUUUGAGAAGAGCCUCGUAGCUUUUGAAGGAGAAGGACAGUUUGAAAAAUUAUGCCAGGAAAGUGCCAAGCAGGCACCCACGAAAGCUGAGAAAAUUAAGCUAUUGAAACCAAUUUCAGGGAAAUUGAGGGCCCAGUGGGAAAUGGGCAUUGUUCAAGCAGAAGAAGCUGCAAGCAUGUCAGUGGAGGAGCGGAAAGCCAAGUUCACCUUUCUCUAUGUGGGGGACCAGCUUCAUCUCAACCCUCAAGUAGCCAAGGAGGCUGGCAUUGCUGCAGAGUCUUUGGGAGAAAUGGCAGAAUCCUCAGGAGUCGGUGAAGAAGCUGCUGAAAACCCCAAGUCUGUGAGAGAAGAGUGCAUUCCCAUGAAGAGAAGGCGGAGGGCCAAACUGUGUAGCUCUGCAGAGACCCUGGAGAGUCACCCCGACAUAGGGAAGAGUACUCCUCAAAAGACGGCAGAGGCUGACCCCAGAAGAGGAGUAGGGUCUCCUCCUGGGAGGAAGAAGACCACAGUCUCCAUGCCACGAAGCAGGAAGGGAGAUGCAGCAUCCCAGUUUUUGGUCUUCUGUCAAAAACACAGGGAUGAGGUGGUAGCUGAGCACCCAGAUGCUUCAGGUGAGGAGAUUGAAGAGCUGCUCAGGUCACAGUGGAGUCUGCUGAGUGAGAAGCAGAGAGCACGCUACAACACCAAGUUUGCCCUGGUGGCCCCUGUCCAGGCUGAAGAAGACUCUGGUAACGUAAAUGGGAAAAAAAGAAACCACACAAAGAGGAUACAGGACCCUACAGAAGAUGCUGAAGCUGAGGACACACCCAGGAAAAGACUCAGGACGGACAAGCACAGUCUUCGGAAGAGAGACACAAUCACUGACAAAACGGCCAGAACAAGCUCUUACAAGGCCAUGGAGGCAGCCUCCUCGCUCAAGAGCCAGGCAGCAACGAAAAAUCUGUCUGAUGCAUGCAAACCACUGAAGAAGCGAAAUCGGGCUUCCACGGCAGCAUCUUCAGCUCUUGGGUUUAGCAAAAGUUCAUCUCCUUCUGCAUCCUUAACUGAGAAUGAGGUCUCGGACAGCCCGGGAGACGAGCCCUCGGAGUCCCCAUACGAAAGUGCGGACGAAACACAAACUGAAGUGUCUGUCUCAUCCAAAAAGUCUGAGCGAGGAGUGACUGCCAAAAAGGAGUAUGUGUGCCAGCUGUGUGAGAAGCCGGGCAGCCUCCUGCUCUGUGAAGGACCCUGCUGCGGAGCUUUCCACCUCGCCUGCCUUGGGCUUUCCCGGAGGCCAGAAGGGAGGUUCACCUGCAGCGAGUGUGCCUCAGGGAUUCACUCAUGUUUCGUGUGUAAAGAGAGCAAGACAGAUGUUAAGCGCUGUGUGGUAACUCAGUGUGGAAAAUUUUACCAUGAGGCUUGUGUGAAAAAAUACCCUCUGACUGUAUUUGAGAGCCGAGGUUUCCGCUGCCCCCUCCACAGCUGUGUGAGCUGCCAUGCUUCCAACCCUUCAAACCCAAGGCCGUCGAAAGGUAAAAUGAUGCGGUGUGUCCGCUGCCCCGUUGCCUAUCACAGCGGGGAUGCUUGUCUGGCAGCAGGAUGCUCAGUGAUCGCCUCCAACAGCAUCAUCUGCACUGCCCACUUCACUGCUCGGAAGGGGAAGCGACACCAUGCCCACGUCAACGUGAGCUGGUGCUUCGUGUGCUCCAAAGGGGGGAGCCUUCUGUGCUGUGAGUCCUGCCCAGCGGCCUUCCACCCUGACUGCCUGAACAUCGAGAUGCCUGACGGCAGCUGGUUCUGCAAUGACUGCAGGGCUGGGAAGAAGCUGCACUUCCAGGAUAUCAUUUGGGUGAAACUUGGGAACUACAGAUGGUGGCCGGCAGAAGUUUGCCAUCCCAAAAAUGUUCCCCCAAAUAUUCAGAAAAUGAAGCACGAGAUUGGAGAAUUCCCUGUGUUUUUCUUUGGGUCUAAAGAUUAUUACUGGACGCAUCAGGCGCGAGUGUUCCCGUACAUGGAGGGGGACCGGGGCAGCCGCUACCAGGGGGUCAGAGGAAUCGGAAGAGUCUUCAAAAACGCACUGCAAGAAGCUGAAGCUCGUUUUCGUGAAAUUAAGCUUCAGAGGGAAGCCCGAGAAACACAGGAGAGCGAGCGCAAGCCCCCACCAUACAAGCACAUCAAGGUGAAUAAGCCUUACGGGAAAGUCCAGAUCUACACAGCGGAUAUUUCAGAAAUCCCUAAGUGCAACUGCAAGCCCACAGAUGAGAAUCCUUGUGGCUUUGAUUCGGAGUGUCUGAACAGGAUGCUGAUGUUUGAGUGCCACCCGCAGGUGUGUCCCGCGGGCGAGUUCUGCCAGAACCAGUGCUUCACCAAGCGCCAGUACCCAGAGACCAAGAUCAUCAAGACAGAUGGCAAAGGGUGGGGCCUGGUCGCCAAGAGGGACAUCAGAAAGGGAGAAUUUGUUAACGAGUACGUUGGGGAGCUGAUCGACGAGGAGGAGUGCAUGGCGAGAAUCAAGCACGCACACGAGAACGACAUCACCCACUUCUACAUGCUCACUAUAGACAAGGACCGUAUAAUAGACGCUGGCCCCAAAGGAAACUACUCUCGAUUUAUGAAUCACAGCUGCCAGCCCAACUGUGAGACCCUCAAGUGGACAGUGAAUGGGGACACUCGUGUGGGCCUGUUUGCCGUCUGUGACAUUCCUGCAGGGACGGAGCUGACUUUUAACUACAACCUCGAUUGUCUGGGCAAUGAAAAAACGGUCUGCCGGUGUGGAGCCUCCAAUUGCAGUGGAUUCCUUGGGGAUAGACCAAAGACCUCGACGACCCUUUCAUCAGAGGAAAAGGGCAAAAAGACCAAGAAGAAAAUGAGGCGGCGCAGAGCAAAAGGGGAAGGGAAGAGGCAGUCAGAGGACGAGUGCUUCCGCUGCGGUGAUGGCGGGCAGCUGGUGCUGUGUGACCGCAAGUUCUGCACCAAGGCCUACCACCUGUCCUGCCUGGGCCUUGGCAAGCGGCCCUUCGGUGGGUGUGCAGCCUCGCGGUGGCUUGCGGCUGUGUCUGUGUGGCAGGCUCCUGAUGGCGGCUGCUGCCGCUCUUCCUGCUGACCGGGCCUCAUCUGGGUGCAGGCGCACCAGGCGCUCAUGCAGCGAAGGCCCUGAUCCAGGGUGGCAGAGCCUUUCUUUGUUCCACCAGCUGCACAUUCUAGAUCUCUGCAUCGAGCAGAGAAGAUACGUGGUGACGGGGUAGCCCCUGGAACCUCCAGGAGGGAUUCAGGCAGCCCAAGGCCCAGCUGCAGAAUUGGGGCCCUCAUCCAUGCUGUGGGGGCGGGGCGGCCAGGAAGGAGGCGACGCUGGGAACUAAAGCCCCUCCUAGGAGAAAGGCCUCUACAGCAGCGUCUCCCUGGCAGCCCAGAGGGGCCUGGCCUGACUGCACUACAGUGGGAAUGGAGGGGCCCAGAGCCCCUGUCCUGGAUGUGCAGGGCAGGCUGUCCCCAGAGAUGGUGCUGUGCACCAGGAGGCUCCGCCGGUUGACGAAGGAGCUGCAGCUCUGGCUCCGUUUGAGGGAAAGUAGAGUGGGCUCCACCUUCCAGCACCCGCAUUUCAGAGAUGACAGGCGCCAGUGGGAAAACAGUAGCAUCUUGUUCCACUUGGUGAUGAGACAGUCUUGAGAAAUGGGUCGUGAGAUGACUCUGGUGCUGCGCAGACAUCAUGGCUCACACCUAAGGGUGCAGCCACCUCCGUUACAAUCUUGCAGUGUGUCGCCAUGGGGCUCUCGACUGUGUGGAAUCACAGAAGAAAAAUUAAAAGGCCCUUACCCAAAACAAGAAACCAAAAAGAGGCCAGGUGCGGGGGCUCAUGCCUGUAAUCCCAGUACUUUGGGAGGCCAAGGGAAGUGGGAAUGUCCUUGGCAUCAUUGUGACGUGUGUGGCAAACCUUCGACUUCAUUUUGCCACCUCUGCCCCAAUUCGUUCUGUAAGGAGCACCAGGACGGGACAGCCUUCAGCUGCACCCCGGACGGGCGGUCCUACUGCUGUGAGCAUGACUUAGGGGCGGCAUCGGUCAGAAGCACCAAGACUGAGAAGCCCCCCCCAGAGCCAGGGAAGCCGAAGGGGAAGAGGCGGCGGCGGAGGGGCUGGCGGAGAGUCACAGAGGGCAAAUAGCGCCAGGCGGCAGCUUGGCCGGAUCCAGGGGCGGAGCAGGGCGGCCGGCCCUGCCUGCGGGAGAGGGCGAGCAUGAACUGGCCCAGAGGACCCAGCUCGAGCCGCCAGGACACAGACGUACAGGCCUCCUCGGGAGGGAGCGCCUCCCCACCACUGAGCCAUCCUCAGCAGCAUCCGCUGCGUCUGCACUGAUGACCGUCUGAGCCCAGCUCAGCGUUCCUGGACAAACAGCCUCACUCCUCAGCGUUACCGCCACACUUGAAUUUCUCCGAAUGUCAAGGUUCCCUCCCACUCUAUUUUUUUAGGUUAAAGUUAAUUGGCAUAUGGAAUGUUUUAAUCUCCUCUGAAAUGUGUAGCGUAGGCUUUUCCCAAGGGUCGCUAGAAACUCGGCUUCGCGUUGCCCCCUUUCUGGCUCUCAGCGCCGUCGCCACUCAGGAGAGGCUGGGUGAGGCCCGUGUGAGGACUGACCCUGGAUUCCUCGAAACUGCCAUUGUGAUCAUUACUCUGCUCUUUGGAAAUGGCUAUUAUCUUUUUUUGUACUAAUGUGAAUUGUUCCUCAGAAAUGCUUCUUUUCCAUCCUAGUGAGAAGCUGGCCCUGCAGGUGGUGGCAGCAAUGGUGUUGUAAGAUUUCCUCCCGUAGUUUUUUUCUCCUCAUGGAUUUGAAUGAAAUGCCAAUAACACGUCCACUUUCAACGUGUAGUUUACGCGGAGCACUUUCGAGGCCUGGCCGGGUUGGGCCUACUUCUCACCUGGGCCUAUCUUCUGAACUCGCUAGGUUCUUAUCAACAUUUGGGGGAGAACUUUGUAUAUUUUUUUCAUUUGGCUUUUCUUUACCAGUUUCUGAUUUUUAUUCUCAAUAUAUUUUUGCUAAACCUAUUUCACAAAUCACCACCGACUGAAGUGUGUGUUUACUGAUGCGGCCCUGAGCUCCGUGGCGAAAGGAGUGACUUUGCAGGGCGUGAGACCGCAGUCUGCUUAGAGCACAGGAAGUGACAACUUAGGGAGCCCCGUAGGGCGCUGCAGGCCCCGGGGACCCCAGCACGUGGGUCUAAAGAGAGACGGAGUCUAGCCCUCCUGCCACCCAGAGUGGCUUCCAUCUCAGCACUCUAUGGGUCUGGUGAUGGAAGAUGCAGACUCUGCUGAUCACAUGUGCCCUCUGCCAGGGCACCUACUGAGAGGUGUGGUCCUGGGGGUGGAGGCCUGCCUGGCAGGUGUGCGUGCCUCGUACGUGUGUUAUGGGCACUGGUCUAGGCCAGGUAUGACACCCACUCUCCUGUGAGAUUUCACUUUAGUUUUUAAAAGGUCCAGUUCUACAGAGUGCGACCUAUCUGAGUACUACAUAUGUUUUAAGACUUGGUUCUUUUUUUGAGGGAUCCUUGACCCUGGGAAGUCUGGAGCACCCUGAGAAGGGGGCACCAUGUGUGCCUUUGCCCACGUGUCCUGAGGGGCUGCUUGUCUGGGAGGGAGUGAGAGAACAUUCAGCAGCAGGUGCUUUUUUAUGGCCUUUUCUUAAAAUAACCUAAGGGGGACACAUCCAUCUUGCAGAGAAGUUUACAGAACUCCCCUUGAAAACUGCUGCUGAGGCUCCUGUUAAAUUUUCUGUGGCAUCUUUUAUGCCUUGGUAAAAACUGCAGUGUCUUUGGACCUGAGAGUGGCUACUCCGUGGUUUUGUGACCUGUAAGCGUGGGGUUCAGGGGUGUGUGGCCCUGCAGGGUCCCACGCCUCCCUGAGCACUGACUGGAAGUUUCACUGGCUGGUGGCUGUCCCUUCUCCCAUCAGGGUCCCCAGCAAAGUUAACUACACAGAGGACCCAGGGGAAACGAGCUGUGUAGCCACUGACUUGCUCGCGCGGCCGUGGCCUCUGAGGUGCACUUGCCGGUUAGGACAGGGUGGGAGUGCUUUCCAGUUCAGACUCUAACUUCUCCCAAAUUGUCCUAAGAAAAUACUGGAUCGGCUCAUAGAUUUAUGCUCCUUAUGAUGCCCUAACUUGGAAGGUUGUUCUAGGGACAGGCCGGGCAGUGUCCCCACACACACCUUAGAGUCGAAGGCCCCAGGGCCCCGCUGUCACUUGCCCAAAAGAUCCCUUCCGGCAGGUAAGGGACUAACAAUGCUUACGUCAAAACAGCAGAAUCAGCUUUGCAGUGCACUUUGGGGAGCAGAUAUUAACUUAUUUUUGUGUUGGACAGUAGUGAAAUCUUGUGAUUUUUAAUCGCUUUGAUAAUACUUCCAAAUUUUAUGAUUUUUCUGAAGGAAAUAACGCAAGCAUUUUAAAUAUGUUUCCUUCCCCUUUCCAAAAACUGUUAAACUAAUGAGCAAGUAACACUAACUUUGAAUGUCUCUACAAUACCCGUUGAUAACUCGGUGGAGCCAGGCUUUGGGGUAGCGGCCCUGAGCUUGCAGGGUUUCUCGCCACUGGGGCUGACCAGGCCCCCAGCUGUGACCCUGGGUGUGGUUGGCUCUCAGCCCUGCCCAGCUUUGUUCUGAGGGCGUGGUGACUUCCUGAACAUCAGCUUCAAUCCUUCGUCAUUAAUGUGUAGCAAAACACAAAAACCGCCCCAAUCCCUCAGGAUUCCUUGGCAUCCGAAACCAGCAUCUGCACCUAAACCCAUACCCACCCGUGUGCGCCCACAGGGGGAUGUGUCCGAAUGGGCAGCUUAAAAUGUGGUCACCUGUGGGGGAAACUCUUCAGGCACCUGAAGUGAGAACCCAGCUGUCCGUCCUCAGGCCGGCCUUUCUUCCGGCGACACCUGUCCGUGGCUGUCUGGGUCCCCUUCGCAGUGUUUGUCUGUCUGUCUUGACAUCUAAACCCCGGCGUGUGCAGUGCCCAUCUUCCAGAACUACCUUAUUUUCCAGAAUUAAACCUGUUUUAUAAUUCAAGUUAAUGCAAAUGACUGUCAGUCGCCAAAUAUCUUGAUCCUAUGAGUAUAGUUGAUGACUGUUUGUUAGUCAGUAGAGUAAAAUGCUGUGUCCACGGGGUGUCACAGCCUCACCAUACCCUGUUGAGGUGUGAAAUGCCCCGUCAGAAAUUAAAUACAAACUUAAAUGUGCCUAUUGGUGUCUAAACUUCAUACAAUGUAAGGUCAGAUUCCUUUUAGGAAUACUGGGUGCUGUCACCAGGUUUGAUAGUUAGACUUAAAAACUUGAAAUUCACUUUUGGGGGGGAGGGAUAUACUGAAAUAGAGAGUUGAGACUUGCCAGUUGGGGGAAAAUAGCAUUUAAAAUGGAAAGCUGUGUUUGGAAAAUUGUGUAUGAGUAUUUUUGUAUUAAAAACAUUUUAAAGGCUUUUUUCUUAACUUA